Molecule: ribosomal RNA, 484 nt
Filed under: uncultured bacterium
Lineage: Bacteria
Description: partial 16S ribosomal RNA
Rfam family: Bacterial small subunit ribosomal RNA
Source: RNAcentral
AUUGAACGCUAGCGGGAUGCUUUACACAUGCAAGUCGAACGGCAGCGCGGACUUCGGUCUGGCGGCGAGUGGCGAACGGGUGAGUAAUGUAUCGGAACGUGCCCAGUAGCGGGGGAUAACUACGCGAAAGCGUAGCUAAUACCGCAUACGCCCUACGGGGGAAAGCAGGGGAUCGUAAGACCUUGCACUAUUGGAGCGGCCGAUAUCGGAUUAGCUAGUUGGUGAGGUAACGGCUCACCAAGGCGACGAUCCGUAGCUGGUUUGAGAGGACGACCAGCCACACUGGGACUGAGACACGGCCCAGACUCCUACGGGAGGCAGCAGUGGGGAAUUUUGGACAAUGGGGGCAACCCUGAUCCAGCCAUCCCGCGUGUGCGAUGAAGGCCUUCGGGUUGUAAAGCACUUUUGGCAGGAAAGAAACGUCGCGGGCUAAUACCCCGUGGAACUGACGGUACCUGCAGAAUAAGCACCGGCUAUCUACGUG